CCAACGGCCCUCUUUAGGGCCACAAAUGAGCUCGAAUACGCUUGA
Non-coding RNA from Ancylostoma ceylanicum, 45 nucleotides. Lineage: Eukaryota; Metazoa; Nematoda; Chromadorea; Rhabditida; Ancylostomatidae. The record is from Rfam.